CCUGGUGGAUAGUAGUGGACGAACUAAUGGUAGACCAAAUGAUCAUUGAUGAGUUGGUAAUUGGACAAAUUGGCAUUAGACCAAUUGGAAAUAAACCAAAUCACCAAUGUCAUCAAUUACUUUCAAGCUUAGUGCUGAACUGACUAAAAAUAAAAUUACCUACAACCAACAACAAAAUGUCAGCAACAAACUUGAGAGCGCAUACAUUCGUAAUUCCGAAGCUUCGUUAUUCCGAAGGUUCGGAUAUUCUGAAGGCUCCUUAUUCCGAAGUGUAACCCUUGAGAGAGUGAGCAACAGACAUAUCCCUGUUUUUACAGGAAAUGUCAUUUCAGGUACCUGUCUCAUUGUGCAAUCAUAGGGUAUGCAUAACUACAUGAACAUGUAUACAUGUAUAGGUUAGUCUUAUAUCAGCCUUUACAAACCUAACAUAUGUUACAAAGUUAAGGACUUUGGGAUUUAAAGGUUUUCACAAAAGCAUUGCCACUUCCUCUGUGAGAGGUUGAUGAAUAUGCAAUAGAAUCAAAUACCCCAACACUUAUUCAAAUGUAUUCAUAAAUAUAUAUUUUUUUCAAAUUAUGGAAUGCAUUAUAUGAGUAGAUUUCAAUACACAUAAUUCCCUUGUUAUCAUCUGUACAGUACCACUCGUAGAAAAAAAAAACAAAGACGAGGACAAAGAUGACACACAUCAUAUUCUUUCUCUUUGAAAGUUUGGAUUUCUGUUUGAAAGAAAACUGCACAUCAAAUAGGAUCUAUCAAAAUGGAAACUGAAGCACCCCUUCCCAUAUACAUGUAUAUUUUAACCAAAUUAAUUCAUUUAACCAAUAUUAUAUGCCAUGCCAAUAUUAAAUAAAUAGUAAACUCACAUGGCAUCAACAAAUUUCUAUACAUGUAUCCCAAAUAAUGGAUUUUAGUAUUCUAUCCUUCUAUCUUAUCAAUGAGACAAUCAAUUUUAUAAAUAA
Lytechinus variegatus (green sea urchin) is the source of this 959-nucleotide long non-coding RNA. RefSeq lists it as uncharacterized. The transcript has 2 exons. The record is from RefSeq and is a predicted model, not a curated record. Lineage: Eukaryota; Metazoa; Echinodermata; Echinoidea; Temnopleuroida; Toxopneustidae.